RNAcentral lists this ribosomal RNA (439 nucleotides) under uncultured bacterium. RNAcentral's name for it is "partial 16S ribosomal RNA". It matches the Rfam family "Bacterial small subunit ribosomal RNA", at positions 339 to 795 of the family's 1533-position model. The record is from RNAcentral.
CUACGGGGCGCAGCAGUGAGGAAUAUUGCACAAUGGAGGAAACUCUGAUGCAGCAACGCCGCGUGGAGGAUGACGCAUUUCGGUGUGUAAACUCCUUUUAUGAGUCAAGAAAAUGACGGUAGCUCAUGAAUAAGCACCGGCUAACUCCGUGCCAGCAGCCGCGGUAAUACGGAGGGUGCAAGCGUUACUCGGAAUCACUGGGCGUAAAGGACGCGUAGGCGGGAUAUCAAGUCAGGUGUGAAAUCCUACAGCUUAACUGUAGAACUGCACUUGAAACUGGUAACCUAGAGUAUGGGAGGGGGAGAUGGAAUUAGUGGUGUAGGGGUAAAAUCCGUAGAUAUCACUAGGAAUACCUAAAGCGAAGGCGAUCUCCUGGAACAUAACUGACGCUAAGGCGUGAAAGCGUGGGGAGCAAACAGGAUUAGAUACCCCAGUAGUC